RNAcentral lists this ribosomal RNA (1050 nucleotides) under Staphylococcus aureus. RNAcentral's name for it is "partial 23S ribosomal RNA". It matches the Rfam family "Bacterial large subunit ribosomal RNA", at positions 394 to 1452 of the family's 2925-position model. Lineage: Bacteria; Bacillati; Bacillota; Bacilli; Caryophanales; Staphylococcaceae. The record is from RNAcentral.
CUCUUGAGUGGAUCCUGAGUACGACGGAGCACGUGAAAUUCCGUCGGAAUCUGGGAGGACCAUCUCCUAAGGCUAAAUACUCUCUAGUGACCGAUAGUGAACCAGUACCGUGAGGGAAAGGUGAAAAGCACCCCGGAAGGGGAGUGAAAUAGAACCUGAAACCGUGUGCUUACAAGUAGUCAGAGCCCGUUAAUGGGUGAUGGCGUGCCUUUUGUAGAAUGAACCGGCGAGUUACGAUUUGAUGCAAGGUUAAGCAGUAAAUGUGGAGCCGUAGCGAAAGCGAGUCUGAAUAGGGCGUUUAGUAUUUGGUCGUAGACCCGAAACCAGGUGAUCUACCCUUGGUCAGGUUGAAGUUCAGGUAACACUGAAUGGAGGACCGAACCGACUUACGUUGAAAAGUGAGCGGAUGAACUGAGGGUAGCGGAGAAAUUCCAAUCGAACCUGGAGAUAGCUGGUUCUCUCCGAAAUAGCUUUAGGGCUAGCCUCAAGUGAUGAUUAUUGGAGGUAGAGCACUGUUUGGACGAGGGGCCCCUCUCGGGUUACCGAAUUCAGACAAACUCCGAAUGCCAAUUAAUUUAACUUGGGAGUCAGAACAUGGGUGAUAAGGUCCGUGUUCGAAAGGGAAACAGCCCAGACCACCAGCUAAGGUCCCAAAAUAUAUGUUAAGUGGAAAAGGAUGUGGCGUUGCCCAGACAACUAGGAUGUUGGCUUAGAAGCAGCCAUCAUUUAAAGAGUGCGUAAUAGCUCACUAGUCGAGUGACACUGCGCCGAAAAUGUACCGGGGCUAAACAUAUUACCGAAGCUGUGGAUUGUCCUUUGGACAAUGGUAGGAGAGCGUUCUAAGGGCGUUGAAGCAUGAUCGUAAGGACAUGUGGAGCGCUUAGAAGUGAGAAUGCCGGUGUGAGUAGCGAAAGACGGGUGAGAAUCCCGUCCACCGAUUGACUAAGGUUUCCAGAGGAAGGCUCGUCCGCUCUGGGUUAGUCGGGUCCUAAGCUGAGGCCGACAGGCGUAGGCGAUGGAUAACAGGUUGAUAUUCCUGUACCACCUAUA